UGUGUCCAUGGGCAGCAGGCAAGAAAGGGGCAGAUCCAGGACUGGAAUCAACAUUUCCUUACUCUGAACAACAGCUCUGAACUCUACAGUAUGUUAUUUCAGCUGCAAGGCAAGUGCCAUGGGUGAUAAAUGCUGCUGACAAUGGAAUCUUUCAUCUUCCGGGGCAGGUUUUGCUUGCGAUACCAGGAUGUUUCAGACUAAUUUUCCUGAGAAAUAUGGAACAAAGCAAAGACAAGGAGUCAACAGAACUACCCAGAAGACACUGUUUGAUGUGAAAGGAUUGUCAUUGAAUGGAAAAGAGAAUUUCACAUAGUUUUGCCCUGGACCUGUGCCUCUGGCAUGUUGGAGCCUGAACAUUUUAGGGACAUUCAGAGAUGCUUUUUUGGGAUUAACAGUGGCAUUUUCAUUAUGUGAUGUGAUGGUGACAAAGCUUUUCCAAGUGGCAAGUAUGGUCAGAAGGAAGAGGACGAUAGGGAAGAUGAUGCUAAUUGGUUUGUGGCACUGGCAGGAACCUGUCUGGGCUCUCUAAGAAGUGAUAAAAGAAACAUAUGAAGAGGUACAGAUUUUCAGCUACAAAAUAAAUGAACCCCAGAGCAAGGAUUCAAGCACAUGUUUGCAGGAACACAGCGUUUAAGCUUUUCACGAGGUCACUCAGCUCUCUGUUUUAUGGAGUGUAUACGUGAGACACCACUGCAGGAGGCACUUUGCUCGGCGUGUCUGAUUUCACCUUCAGAAUACACCAGCAGGGUGAGUUCACUUUGUGAAAAUUUAUCAGACUCUUCACUUGGAAUAUGUGCACUUUUCUGUUGUAUGAUGUACUUCAGGAUAAAAUCAAGAAAUGGACUGGGUUUCAGAGCUUCUUAUGUAUGAGAGACCUUCUAGUGUUUUCCUAAAGGCUGCAUGGCUUUUUGUCUACUCCACCUUAGAGGAAUUGUGAGAGAUAUUAAAUGCAGAAAGCACAUUUUGUUUUAAAAGGAAGGGAGAUUGAGACCAUUGGCAGUAAGGGUUUCUGUGGAACAGAAAGGGUAGUGACUGGUUUGGACAGGAGCCUCUGGAAGCUCUGAAUUUAAGGAAACACUGACUUUCUGCUCCCCAAAGCCAACUUAAAGGAUGAGGAAAGUUGACUCUGGCAGUCUGAGCUCAGCAUGGAACAACUGCUACCACCUCCACCAAGAGUGUGCUGGCUGGAUUCACUCCAUCCUCCAAACAGAUGGGUGGAUGUGCUGGCAUUACCCUGUUCCUACCUGGAUGGUUGGCGGAUACAGUCCAUGCCAGUUUCUGCUGAUCUUUCCAGACCAAGUAUUUCAGCACUGAACACACUUUGGGUAGCUUCACCAUAAGAAAGAGGAAAGUGAGAAAGCUGGCUUAAAACUCAACAUUCAAAAAGCUAAGAUCAUUGCAUCCAGGCCCGUUACUUCAUGACAAAUAGAAGGGGAAAAAGUGGAAGCAGUGACAGGUUUUACUUUCUUGUGCUAAAAAUUGCUGGAGAUGGUGACUGCAGCCAUGAAAUUAAAAGACACUGCUUCUUGGAAGGAAACCUAUGACAAACUUAGAUAGCAAAUUAAAAAGCAGAGACAUCACUUUGCUGAUGAUAAUCCAUAUAGUCAAAGCUAUGGUUUUUCCAGUAGUCAUGUACAGAUGUGAGAACUGGACCAUAAAGAAGGCUUAGUGCCAAAGAAUUUAUGUCUUUGAAUUGUGGUGCUGGAGAAGACUCUCAAGAGUCCCUUGCAUUGCAAGGAGAGCAAACCAGUUAAUCCUAAAGGAAAUAAACCCUGAAUACUCAUUGGAAGGACUGAUGCUGAAGCUGAAGCUCCAAUACUUUGGCUAUCUGAUGUGAAAAGCCAACUCAUUGGAAAAGAUUCUAAUGAUGGAAAAGAUUGAGGGCAGGAGGAGAAGGGAGUGGCAGAGGAUGAGAUGGUUAGAUAGCAUCACCAACUCAAUACACAUGAAUUUGAGUAAACUCCAGGAGAUAGUGAAAGACCAGGAAGCUUGGCAUGCUGCAGUUCAUGGGGUCACAGAGUCAGACAUGACUUAGUGACUGAACAACGACAAUGACAACCAUGGUUCACUCAUUAAGAGCAUGUACAUCAUUUAGUCUUACUCUGAUAACCUAAACCAGAAUAAUCCCACAACUGCAGUAGUAUUUAUCUCUCAUUCACAUGACCUGUCUGCAAAUACAGGUUGACUGUCAUGGCUUCAUCCUAAUUUCUUCUCGUUCUGGGAUGAAAUCCACUAAAGAUUUGCUUUCUUACUUCCUUGGCCAAAACAUGUCACAUAACCACACUCAUUUCUGGUACUGGUUUUGUAUUUGUCUGCUUUAUAAUGAGCUGCAGUAACAAGUAACUCCCGAAUCUUGCUCUCAUUGCACAGGAGUUGUCUUGAGUUGGAGGCGAUGCCUCUUCUCCACAUGUCUCCUCACUUUGGUAUACGAGUUGAGUGAGAAACCAUGUUCAUGGCAGAGAGAAGAGAGCAAGAUACCUGGGAGAAACUCCUGAUGCUUCUUGCUGUUUUGUUGCUCAGUCAUGUCCGACUCUUCGUGACCUGUUGGACUGUAGCCCACCAGACUCCUCUGUCCAUAUGGUUUCCCAGGCAAUAAUACUGGAGUGGGUUGCCAUUUCCUCCUCCAGGGGAUCUUCCUGACUCAAGGAUUGAACCUGCGUCACCAAAUUGUAUAUUAUGGACAACCCCAAGAGCAGUGGGAAAAUGUUUUUGACUUUCACAUGGAGGAAGCAUUGCCAACUACUUGAUAAGAGGUGAAGGUACAAUCCUCUCAUAGACAAUAGAGUGAGUGAUUGGGAGCAAAAAUUAGUUGGAAAUGAUUUAAGUUGAAAACAGCAGACUAACUGUCCCUUGAACUGAUUGAUAAGAAGUUAUUUUUCUCAUAUAAAAGGAAGUCUAGAGGCAAAUGGUUGCUAGACUUAGACUUUAGUGUUAGAUUUCUCAUCAAUAUCAUGAGGACUCAAAUUCUAUUUUUUUAAUCUUUCUGUUAGACUAUCCUUAAUGUGUUAGUCAUUCAUAUUUAUACACAUUGUUUUUAACGGCAAUGAGACUGCAGAGUUUGAAGAAUUAUAUGCAUCUUGAAGAGAGGAAGAAAGAAAAAUGGAUGGAACAGUCAGAUGGAUACCUUCUAUCAAGAAUCCAAGCACUUAUCAAGAAGCCCCUUCAUUCAUCCCAGCAAAGUCAUUGGCUUUCAUCUUAUUUUGUAGCACUUGGCUGCCAUGAGUUGUAAGGGAGACUGGAAAGUAUUUAAUUUCCACAAACUCUAAUGAAGACAGGAAAAGAAGAGUGGGGCUUGAAUAUUAGUUGACUUAGCCAGUCAAUGUCGCUUCCCCAGAAAAUCAUUGGAAAAGAAGGAUGUUUGAAUCUGAGCAUUUGUCUUUGUUCAUAACUGGGAACAACAACAAAAAAAAUUACAUCUUUUAUUGGCCUAGUUGGUUAGGUUUUCAUCUGUUAUGCACAUAAUUUCUUUAAUAAUGCUAUUAAAUCUCUCAAUCUAGUCUCAGAGUUUAUAUAGAUAUACCUUGCUAUUAAGUAUAUUGUUGUUUUCCUAGGUAACUCACAUCUUCCCUAAGAGAGAAAAAUGAAUCACAGUGAUGAAAUCACAUAAAAGAGUAGAGUUAGGAGGGAAAAAACCUUUUAUUUUCAUUUGACUUGCCUAUAUUUCUAAAUGCUUCAUAAUUAUUUUAUGUUACUGAAACAGAAAAUAAUUGUGUUGCCUAAUGUGUUACAUAGAAAUUAGGACUUACUUCCAAGGGUAGAAACACAUUCUUGUUUCCUGAGAGGAAUGUGUUAUUAACGUCUCUCUCUGUUAAAAUUGUGAACUGCGAGCAGGAGUCUGACUGACUUGUGAUUGUGUAAUAUUUUAGAAGAGCCUCAUGAAUAGAAGAUAUUUUUGUAGCACAAGCUUAGUUUCUCUUUCCUGUGUGUGUGUGUGUGUGUGUUAGUCUCUCAGUCUGGUCCAGCUCUUUGCGACCCCACAGACUGUAACCUGCUAGACUCUUCUGUCUAUGGAAUUCUCUGGGCAAGAAUACUGGAGUGGGUUGCCAUUCCCUUCUCCAGGGGGUCUUCCUGACCCAGGGAUCGAACCCAAGUGUCCUGCACUGCAGGCGAUUCUUUACCAUCUGAAACACCUAUGAAUGCCACUAUGGGUUCUGGAAACAGAGACAGACUUUAUUUUCUUGGGCUCCAAAAUCACUGCAGAUUAUGAUUGAAGCUAUGAAGUUAAAAGAUGCUUGCUCCUUGGAAGAAAAGUUAUGACAAACCUAGACAGCAUAUUAAAAAGCAGAGACAUUACUUUGCCAACAAAGGUCCGUAUAGUCAAAGCUAUGGUUUUUCCAGCAGUCAUGUAUGGAUGUAAGAGUUGGACCAUAAAGAAAACUGAGUGCUGAAAAAUUGAUGCUUUUAAACUGUGGUGUAGAAGACUCUUGAGAGUCCCUUGGACUGCAAGGAGAUCAACCAGUCCAUCCUAAAGGAAAUCAGUCCUGAACAUUCAUUGGAAGGUCUGAUGCUGAAGCUGAAACUCCAAUACUUUGUCCACCUGAUGUGAAGAACUGACUCAUUUAAAAAAACCCUGAUGCUGGGAAAAUUGAGGGCAGGAGGAAAAGGGGAUGACAGAGGAUGAGAUAGUUGGAUGGUAUCACCGACUCGAUGGACAUGAGUUUGAGCAAGCUCCGGGAGAUGUUAAAGGACAGGGAAGGCUGGUGUGCUACAGUCCAUGGGGUUGCAGAGAGUUGGACAUGACUGAGUAACUGAACAACAAUAAAAUGAGUUCUGGAAGGCACAGAAAGAAAGGACAUCUCCUCCACCUCCUCCUGGUACUGUCUCCUGCUCGAGAAGUCAGGCAGCCUGUGAUUGGUUGUUAAGACUGGAAGGAGAUUUCCUGAGUUCAGAGGCAGGAGCCACCAACUUCAAACAGCAGUUGAAAAACUUCUACAACACAUGAAUUUGGGAUGCAGAGUUUGGAAGCAGGACCAAGUAUCUAUGUUCUCUGCUUUACAAGCACGCCCAGGUUAUGUGUACCUGGGCUAAUGCAGAUGGGACCCGUGGCAUCUGGAUCAACAUCUUUUUUGCACAUAGUCUAAAUUGCCUGAUAUUCACCAAGGCUCUGAAUUGCAUUGAGUCAAAAAUUAAGAGUUUGUAAAACUGGUGGCAUAAGAAAAAUAAUUGUCUCUUGGUUAUGUAUGGUACUUACAAACUACUAGGUUUUUCAGUCCAGGACAGAGGCAAUGAGAAAAUGAAAUGUGGUGCUAAAAGGGUAAAAAAUUUGUCUUGAAAUAAACUUUGUUUUCCAAAGCAUAGUAUUAUGUUGAAUUUUCCUUGCUAAGAGAGUUAAUAACAUGUCCAUGUCUUUUUAAAUGUACAAUUGAAAACAAACAGCCUUUAUAAAACACAGCAUUUUAGCCACUAGAGUCAAACUUCAUGAGAACUUGGACCUGUUCCACUUUGCCUGACUGCAUCUCCACCCCUGGGACAGCUCCUAGGACAUCAUGGGUGCUGCAUGAAAAGUUAGCUGUGGAGGGAAGUCUCCAAUUAUGUGUUUUCAUAUUCACAUGAUUCAAUGUUUAAAUGUCUGAAUGUUUGAUACAUUUAUUGCCUCUGAUAUCAUUUAUGGGCAACAGAAGAAUCUCAGGAAAAAGAAACUAUAAAGUUAUCACUAAAUUUGAGAUAGGACUGCAGUUCAGCUA
Long non-coding RNA from Dama dama (fallow deer), 5684 nucleotides. RefSeq lists it as uncharacterized. The transcript is spliced from 5 exons. Lineage: Eukaryota; Metazoa; Chordata; Mammalia; Artiodactyla; Cervidae. The record is from RefSeq and is a predicted model, not a curated record.